This is a long non-coding RNA of Taeniopygia guttata (zebra finch), 1713 nucleotides long. The record is from Ensembl. NCBI's taxonomy places the organism in Eukaryota, Metazoa, Chordata, Aves, Passeriformes, Estrildidae.
CACUCAGUCUUCCUUCCUGCUGCAGCUCCUGACAGAGCUCGCUGGGUUGGUUUUUUGCUGUUUUAUUUUUUUAAAAAAAUGUGAUUUUGCACAGCCUGGCUGCCAGAGGGGGAGCGCUGAGAGCUGAGCUCAACCCCCCAGGAGUGAAAAUUAUGAAAUUUCCACCCAGAUUUCAUUUCCAGCCCCCCCUCCAAGGAUUUUAGGACUGCUUGAAAUGACUGAAAUCUCCUUUUUUUUAAAAUUUUAUUUUGUCUCCUUUAACCCUUUCACAGCCAAGCUGGGCAGCCUCGCCGUGGGUUUUGUUUUUUGUUUUUUAAUUUUAUUUUCAUUUCUCUUUCAAAGCAGGAUUUAAGAGUUUUGAACAAACCUCUUUGCAGUUGCUUCAUCUGCCUUGGAACUGUUUUUCACACUUGCCUUUGUUUGGGAAUGUCAGUCCUGUGCUGUGACACUUUUUUUGCUGUGUGGAAUUUUUUGGUCCUUUUUCAGACGUAAUUUGGUGCUUAUUCCCCUAAAUUAACGCUGCCUUUGGGCUGGAUUCUGAAUGGGGUUUUGGUUUUUGUUUUUUUUUAAAUUUUAUUUCCUUUUCAUCCCCUUCCUGAUGUGAAUCCCACCUCAGGAAAGGCUGGAAUUGAACCCCCGAGGGUGCACUGUAAAUAGAAUUAUGGAAAAAUUAAAAAUUAGGGGUUCUGAUGGGAUUUGGAGGGUUUUUGGUCCAAAUUUUAGUUCCCUCUUUGCUGUCUUAAGGUGUGGAGCUGAAAAAGCCACGACCCAAAUGCAGCUAAAAAAUACUUUAAAAAAAUCAAAAAUCAAAAUACUUCAAAAAUACUUUAAAAAGGACUUCAAGGGCAUCAUCAGCUUCGUUUUGUGGGCAUUAAAUUGGUUUUUUUCUCUCUUAAUAAGCACUUAAGUUUACUGCUGAUUAGGAAUUAAACACAAAUUACUUUUUAUUCCUGACAGUUUUUAAAAAACAAACAAACAAACAAACAAAAAAAAAAAUCUGCAUUGAAUCUGCAACUUUGACCUGGUAAGUUUGCCCUUCUCCUUUUGGGGGAAGUAGCUUGGAAUUUUUUAUUCUCUUGAAAUCAUCUAUUAAAAAAGAAAAAUUUAAAUUAAAUAAAUAAAGAGGAGAAGAAAGGGGGAGGAAGAGAGCAGGAGGUGGGUGAACCCCACAGAGCAAACCCAGAGAAAAGGGAGUGAAAAUGGCAAAAAAAAAACCCCAAAAAUCUCCUUUAUUGAAUUGCAGAAUAAUGAAUAAAGAAUCAAAAACCAGAAAUCCUAACAGAUCUGACAAAAACUGAGAGCAGGGAAAAUUUCCUUAUUCCAGACUCCUGCUGGGAUUAAAUUUGGGGUGAUCUGGGGGGGUCCCACAAAGAUUCUGCCCCUUCCUAUUAUGUUCGAAGUGAUUAAAUGUGAUUUUCUCACCUAAUAAUGUUUUACCCAGCUAUGUAACUUUGUUUAACAGAAGCAUUUUUGUAUAUUGUUUACAUUUGGAGAAGUAGCAUUUACCUUCCAAAUGCUCAUUUUUUGUUUCUAGACAGUAUUUUUUUCUUAACAGAACGAGAAGCUGCAAAUAUUUUGAUUUGUUUUUAAAAGGGACUUUUUCUUUCUGUUUGUUUUCUUUUUGUUUUGCUUUGUUUUGUUGGUUUUUUUUUCUUUAAAAUCUUGUUUUAGGUCACUUUUUUAACAUGAGUAUUUAAAAAAAAAAAAAAAAAA